CAAAAAAAGAUUCUCUCUCUCUCUCUCUCUCUCUCUCUCUCUCUCUCUCUCUCUCUUUCUCCCCUUAAAAAAAUUUAAAAAACAUUGGGUCAACAAGAGGCAGGAGGGUAACAGAAUCUUUAUCCUCUUCUGGAUCAUUCAACAAAGAGAGAGAGAGAGAGAGAGAGAGAGAGAGAGAGAGAGAGAGAGAGAGAGAGAGAGAGAAGUGUG
Molecule: microRNA precursor, 210 nt
Filed under: Marmota monax (woodchuck)
Lineage: Eukaryota; Metazoa; Chordata; Mammalia; Rodentia; Sciuridae
Source: RNAcentral